AACGCACAUUGCGCCUCUUGGUAUUCCGAGGGGCAUGUCUGUUUGAGCGUCAGUACCCACUCUCUCCCCAGAGGUUUUGAGGACUCCUCGGAGUCUUCUAACGUGGACGCUUGCGAACCUAUACCGAUCACGACGUAGUAAAUCUUUCUCGUCGACGAAAGGCUUUGGGAUUUGCCUUGACAUCAAAACUAAGUUUUGACCUCAGAUCAGACAAGGAUACCCGCUGAACUUAA
This 233-nucleotide unclassified non-coding RNA is filed under the name uncultured Hygrocybe. RNAcentral describes it as "partial contains 5.8S ribosomal RNA, internal transcribed spacer 2, and large subunit ribosomal RNA". The stretch from base 1 to 52 matches the Rfam family "5.8S ribosomal RNA", at positions 103 to 154 of the family's 154-position model. Lineage: Eukaryota; Fungi; Basidiomycota; Agaricomycetes; Agaricales; Hygrophoraceae. The record is from RNAcentral.